This 232-nucleotide ribosomal RNA is filed under the name uncultured bacterium. RNAcentral describes it as "partial 16S ribosomal RNA". It matches the Rfam family "Bacterial small subunit ribosomal RNA", at positions 118 to 347 of the family's 1533-position model. The record is from RNAcentral.
UGAGUGAUCUGCCCUGCACUUCGGGAUAAGCCUGGGAAACUGGGUCUAAUACCGGAUAUACCUCAUUGAUCUCCUGGUUGGUGGGGGAAAGCUUUUGCGGUGUGGGAUGGGCCCGCGGCCUAUCAGCUAGUUGGUGGGGUGAUGGCCCACCAAGGCGACGACGGGUAGCCGGCCUGAGAGGGCGACCGGCCACACUGGGACUGAGACACGGCCCAGACUCCUACGGGAGCAG